GCCAGGUGUGGUGGCGCAUGCCUGUAAUCCCAGCUACUUGGGAGGCUGAGGCAUGAGAAUCGCUUGAACCCAGGAGGUAGAGUUUGCAGUGAACUGAGGUCAUGCCACUGCAUUCCAGCCUGGGCAACAAAGUGACAUCGUGUCUCAG
Molecule: non-coding RNA, 148 nt
Filed under: Nomascus leucogenys (northern white-cheeked gibbon)
Lineage: Eukaryota; Metazoa; Chordata; Mammalia; Primates; Hylobatidae
Source: Rfam by way of RNAcentral